RNAcentral lists this ribosomal RNA (494 nucleotides) under uncultured bacterium. RNAcentral's name for it is "partial 16S ribosomal RNA". It matches the Rfam family "Bacterial small subunit ribosomal RNA", at positions 28 to 507 of the family's 1533-position model. The record is from RNAcentral.
GACGAACGCUGGCGGCGUGCUUAACACAUGCAAGUCGAACGGUGAAGCGCCUUCCUUUUUGGUGGGUGUGGAUGAGUGGCGAACGGGUGAGUAACACGUGAGUAACCUGCCCCCUUCUUCUGGAUAACCGCAUGAAAGUGUGGCUAAUACGGGAUAUUCUGGGUCUGUCGCAUGAUGGGUCUGGGAAAGAUAUUGUUUCGGUGGGGGAUGGGCUCGCGGCCUAUCAGCUUGUUGGUGGGGUGAUGGCCUACCAAGGCGGUGACGGGUAGCCGGCCUGAGAGGGUGGACGGUACCACGGGGACGGAGACACGGCCCAGACUCCUACGGGAGGCAGCAGUGGGGAAUAGUGCACAAUGGGCGCAAGCCUGAUGCAGCGACGCCGCGUGAGGGAUGGAGGCCUGCGGGUUGUGAACCUCUUUCGCCAGUGAAGCAGGCCUGCCUCGUUUGUGGGUGGGUUGACGGUAGCUGGAGAAGAAGCGCCGGCUAACUACGUG